AUGAACGCUGGCGGCGUGCCUAAUACAUGCCAGUCGAGCGAACAGACGAGGAGCUUGCUCCUUUGACGUUAGCGGCGGACGGGUGAGUAACACGUAGGUAACCUACCUAUAAGACUGGGAUAACUUCGGGAAACCGGAGCUAAUACCGGAUAAUAUUUCGAACCGCAUGGUUCGAUAGUGAAAGAUGGCUUUGCUAUCACUUAUAGAUGGACCUGCGCCGUAUUAGCUAGUUGGUAAGGUAACGGCUUACCAAGGCAACGAUACGUAGCCGACCUGAGAGGGUGAUCGGCCACACUGGAACUGAGACACGGUCCAGACUCCUACGGGAGGCAGCAGUAGGGAAUCUUCCGCAAUGGGCGAAAGCCUGACGGAGCAACGCCGCGUGAGUGAUGAAGGUCUUCGGAUCGUAAAACUCUGUUAUUAGGGAAGAACAAACGUGUAAGUAACUGUGCACGUCUUGACGGUACCUAAUCAGAAAGCCACGGCUAACUACGUG
Molecule: ribosomal RNA, 496 nt
Filed under: uncultured bacterium
Lineage: Bacteria
Description: partial 16S ribosomal RNA
Rfam family: Bacterial small subunit ribosomal RNA
Source: RNAcentral